RNAcentral lists this ribosomal RNA (228 nucleotides) under uncultured bacterium. Its description in RNAcentral is "partial 16S ribosomal RNA". It matches the Rfam family "Bacterial small subunit ribosomal RNA", at positions 111 to 334 of the family's 1533-position model. The record is from RNAcentral.
UAACGCGUAGGUAACCUGCCUUGUAGCGGGGGAUAACUAUUGGAAACGAUAGCUAAUACCGCAUAACAAUGGAUGACCCAUGUCAUUUAUUUGAAAGGGGCAAAUGCUCCACUACAAGAUGGACCUGCGUUGUAUUAGCUAGUAGGUGAGGUAACGGCUCACCUAGGCGACGAUACAUAGCCGACCUGAGAGGGUGAUCGGCCACGCUGGGACUGAGACACGGCCCAG